Molecule: ribosomal RNA, 460 nt
Filed under: uncultured bacterium
Lineage: Bacteria
Description: partial 16S ribosomal RNA
Rfam family: Bacterial small subunit ribosomal RNA
Source: RNAcentral
CCUACGAGUGGCAGCAGUGAGGAAUAUUGGUCAAUGGGCGCGAGCCUGAACCAGCCAAGUCGCGUGAGGGAUGAAGGUUCUAUGGAUCGUAAACCUCUUUUAUAAGGGAAUAAAGUGUGGGACGUGUCCUAUUUUGUAUGUACCUUAUGAAUAAGGAUCGGCUAACUCCGUGCCAGCAGCGGCGGUAAUACGGAGGAACCGAGCGUUAGCCGGAUUUAUUGGGUUUAACGGGUGCGUAGGCGGCCUGUUAAGUCAGCGGUGAAAGUCUGUGGCUCAACCAUAGAAUUGCUGUGGAAACUGGGGGGCUGGAUUAUGUUCGAGGCAGGCGGAAUGCGUGGUGUAGCGGUGAAAUGCUUAGAUAUCACGCAGAACCCCGAUUGCGAAGGCAGCCUGCCAAGCCAUGACUGACGCUGAUGCACGAAAGCGUGGGGAUCAAACAGGAUUAGAUACCCCUGUAGUC